AGCCAAUGCCGGAUCCGGCCAGCCGCGGGCUCCAGCGACGGGCCGUCGAUGGAUCCAGCCAUCCACGGCCUUUGGCGAUGGGCUAUCUCCGGAUCUGCCCCGCGCUCCUCCCCCGGUCCCCUCCCACCUCACGCCCCAACCCCUCCACCUUCUACACCAAUUCGCCACCAGGGGCCCGAGCCGCCAUAGCCUCCACACCGCGCUUCUCCCAGUGCUCGCCGUGAGUCGCCGCACCAGCUUCUCCCCCCGCGGCACCUUCUUCCAAUGGAUUAGGGCGCCCCCCUCUAUCGGGCGUCAUGGCUGGCCACGCAGACAACACAGACGGGCCCUCGGUCUGGGGUACCUCCACAGCGGCCUCGAGCAUCGCAGAGUCCUGAUGAAGUAGCUCCGACAGGGAGGAUUUGGCCACUGCAGUCCACCAUCGCACAGAGGCGUGCCCCACUUCCUCCUCUCCAUGCAGUCCAUUGUCAAAGCCAAGGGGCUUGCCAUCCCGGGGGCAUCUGGGGCAGCUGGCUUCAAAGAUUGGAGGGGAUUUGGUUAUCUCGGUGGUCAGCGAUGAGGGAUCCGAGGCAGCCACCGCGCCGCCAGCCCCAUGCAGCUCGGUUGGCAGGCCCGUGCGGCUCGGUUGCCACCCCCGUGCAACUCGGUUGCCACGGCCGGCCUCCAAAGCCUCCUCCCCAUCCCCGACACUUGACGACGCCGCCCCGCCAUCCCUUCACCGUGAUGCACGCGAGAUACACCGCUCCAAGGGUCGUCUCUCCUUCAACCGACGACGGUCGCGGAGUGCACUCGUCCCUCUCUCUUCCACUGGAGUUUGCUAUGCGUUGUUCUUCCGGUUGAAUUUUCAGGUUUUUUCCAUGCACUCGGUGCGGUCCGCUCUGACCGUUCCUGCAAUUUAUAUGGGAGCUUGAUGAGGUUCACAUUCAAAAUGCGCGACUCGACAGAGGUUCAGCAGCACAUCUCGUGCAGCUCGAUUUGCACAGGUGUGCGGUUUUGUAUAUCGCCCCUUGCAGCUCGGGUAAGUUUGUGCAUUUUUUUUUACUACAAGUUGUGCAUCAUGCGGUCUGAUGUGUAAAGGCAUUGACCAUGCAGUACUCGGAUGAACGUAUGUCUCAUGCGGUACUGGGAUGUAAUUUCCGUGGGGGUUGCAUAUUUUUAUGAAUUUGUUGUGACAUAUGAUGUGUGGUUGCUGGAUGUACUUCUUUUCGAAGCACUAUUGGUUGUUUCUAGAGGUUCA
This is a long non-coding RNA of Triticum dicoccoides, 1237 nucleotides long. RefSeq lists it as uncharacterized. The transcript has 2 exons. The record is from RefSeq and is a predicted model, not a curated record. NCBI's taxonomy places the organism in Eukaryota, Viridiplantae, Streptophyta, Magnoliopsida, Poales, Poaceae.